CUGAUGUUUACACGAGUGCGAAAGAAAAACAAAAUAUUAAAUAUACUAAAUCGUGAAAACUUUCAUCCGAGUAUCUAUGCUACUUUGUAGAUGGAUAUAAUCAGAAAAUGUAUAGAUCUUUUUUGAUUAUUGAAUUUUAGAAUAAUUUAGAAAUGGUUUGUUUUCAGAGAUUUAAAUCGACGAUAUGUUAUUUUUAAGAAGAUGAGAAGCUGCAUACUAAAUAGACAAGAUUCUUCGAAUAUUCACGUGCAAAGUAUCUGUGGUAUUUAAAUUCAAGGAACGCGCGCAUCACGCAGUCGAUUUCUUCUAGUAAUGCAUAAGCUUACUCAUUGUCAGUAUGCAAAUCCCUGGCACAAACAAGUGACUGUAUUUUACGGGGAGACGAGAUUCUUUAUCCUAAAAGUUAUAAAGUAUCUACGAGGAAGCGUGUGUAACGAUUAUAGGCGCCAAGAUGAAAAAACGAAUAGAAAAAAAAAAAGAAAAAAAAGAUGGGAGUUCCAACGAAAUUUGUCUGGCGUUCAGGUUUUCUUACCUGUUCCUGGAGAAACCCAAUCGCCAAGGAUCUAAUGCCUCCCGAUGCACGUGAACGGAGAAGCAUCGCAGGGAUUUCUUCCUUUUGGACGCGUUGUAUCGAUUUCCGCGUCGCGGAAACCGCAGAAUCCCCGAACAAGACCGGCCGGUUUCGACCCGAAACUCUGAAACCUGAGACGCCCGAUGUCUCCUCCGAAGUAACUACGAAAUAAAAAGGAUCUGGCGUUGCUCCUGCGCCGACCACCAAA
Molecule: long non-coding RNA, 779 nt
Organism: Bombus pascuorum
Lineage: Eukaryota; Metazoa; Arthropoda; Insecta; Hymenoptera; Apidae
Exons: 2
Source: RefSeq, a predicted model, not a curated record